Sciurus carolinensis (gray squirrel) is the source of this 2428-nucleotide long non-coding RNA. RefSeq lists it as uncharacterized. NCBI's taxonomy places the organism in Eukaryota, Metazoa, Chordata, Mammalia, Rodentia, Sciuridae. The transcript has 3 exons. The record is from RefSeq and is a predicted model, not a curated record.
GAAGCGGGGCGGGGCGGCGGGAGAGCAGGAAGCGGCGAGAGUGCGGAGCUCCGGCAGGUCCGGGCCGCCGCGGAAUAGCCGGCGCCGAGAGGCGCAGGCCCAGGCCCGGCCCAGGCAGUCGGCGCCGGGAGAAGACGCGACGAGAGGCGGGCGAACCCAGAGGAAGCCGCCCGAGCCCGGGCAGGGCCUGAGGGCCGACACGCCGUCCCGCUGCCCCUCCCCCUCACGUCAGGGCACUUACCUCCUCGCAGCUGGGGCGCUCCGGUGAUCCAGUCCCGUCAGUUCAGAUCGUCUCUCCCCGACCGCCGCGCCUGACUGACCCGGAUCCAAACCCGCGGAAGGGGCGGCCCGCGCCUCCGGAGGCGCACUGCGCCUGCGUCACUCGGGCAGGGCCCCGCCUCCUGCUCAUGCCCCUCCCACCCCAGUGACUCGGCAGCGCAGUUGGCGGUGGCCGCGCAGGCGCGGGGUGGUGGCCUCGCCUCUCGAGCGCCCCGCCCCGCCCCUCUCAGAAGCACGUGCGCUUGCGUCAUUUCCUGUUAUUCUUUUCGCUCCCACCUCCUGCGCUGUGUUUGUUGGGGAGCGACUUUUGGGGAGUGUCUGCUUCCUCUUUUCUGUCAGGGCUCGAAAUAUGCCCUCUUAUGAUACUGGGCUUAAGCAGGGAGCUGCAACUCCGGGUUGGCAGGCAGUCACCUAGUCAGGAAGGUAAACCACAGAGACUCUACAGUGUACUGUUACCCAACUUUGAUGUUCAAAUGAGGAAAUUGAAGCAGAGAGCAGUUAAGCAACUUGCCUGAGGUUGCACAGCACACGUGUGGUGGAGCUAGAAUCUGAACCCGGGAGUCUGCCUUCCCUGCCUGCCUCUGAUGCUGUUUGAACAUCUUGAACCGGGAAGACCUGCAGGCACCGUGGGGCGGUGUCCAGGGGCAGGAGGACAUGUCAGUCUGAAGCUCAAGUAGGAGGUGGGGACUGGAACUAGGAACUAUGGAACCCACAUACCUGUGGCCACUGAAGCCACAGGAUUGGGUGAGGACCCCGUGAGGGGCGGGGGAAUCGUAGGUGAAAGAAGCAAGGGAAACGCUGGAAGGUAAACACAAGCAUUUGUAGGGAGGAUGCAUUCCAUCUGCAAGCUGGUCACUUGUCACUGUUUAUAGGUACCAGUCAGCACUUAUGAAGUCCACUCCCCUGAAUUAGAUCGGCUCUGGGCAUCCUGCCAAAGUAGAGUUCUUGUCCCACAAUCCUGCAGACCUACCCAGGAUGGGGUGAUCCUUCCUACUGUCUUCCACUGUGAGAGUCUACUUGGUGGCUUCACUGAACAUCUGGGUUUGUCCCUCACCACCAUAGCAGCAGAGCCUCUAGCCCUUCUGCUUACCGUAUGCCAGCUCCCUGGGGACAACGCCCACCCCCAUGUAGGUUCGGUCCGCACUAUGCACACCAUGGCUCUUCACUUACCCCGUCAGAGCCAGGCUACAUCUCGGACCCCCGCACCUGACACAGGGUCUGCUGCAGAGUGUUGGUGAGGGUGAGCCAGAGUCGCCCAGUCAGUCAGUCAGUAGGUUCACUCUGGGUGGUUCCCUGGAGAGCCAGCUGGGACUGCCGCUUCCUUCAGCUGUUUCUUUGAGCUGCAGGGCCUCUCACCACUCUGUGGUUGGGGGAAGUAGGAAUGGGCUGCUGUCUCCUGUUACUAUCGUAAUAGCCCUCAAGCUACGGUAGCCUGUUAUUUUGAUGUUUGCUUUCCUGGAAUGUUAGGGGGCAGAAAAGGAAGUGAAGGAGGGCCUGGCCUUGCCCGCCUGGAUGAGUGUCCUGGCCGUGCAUUUGGGUCCUUUUCCAGGUUUCCACUGGUCACCAGCAGAGGGUGCCACAGGAUCGCAGGCUCUCGCCUUCAUUGGGAUAAAGCAGAACUGUUGAAGAGCCGAGGUUAAUGGAUCACUUGCCUUCUCACCCACAUUUUUGUUCAUUUGAACUUUGCAGUUUAAACAGUAGAGUAUAUGUGUGUUUUCUGUGUGUGUAUUUAAACUCCAAUAAAAAGUUUGAAAACCCUAAGAAGAUAAAGAUAACCUCCGUAUGUAUGCCAUGAAAUAGGUAUUGGGUUAGAGGGAGCUGGUCUUUUUUCUCUACAAUUCUUGAUCUUGUCUGAGCUAUGAGAGUCCCCCCCAAGAGAGCCACAAAUCCCAGGUUAAGACCUCUUACAGCAGUAGAAGAGGAAAUAAGCAAAAAAGGAAAUAAAAUGGCCCUUAAGACAUAUGAAGAGAUGCUCAGCCUCAGUUUUCCAAAGAUAAAUGCUUCUUGGAAGUGCACUGACACACCAUUUUUAACCCAUCAGAUUGAAAGAAACCCCCAAGUUUGAUGGCACACUGGCUGGGGUUGGAGGAGGAGCCGGGCAUUGGGCAGCAGCCCCUUUCAUACAUUGCUGGUGGGAUUGUGCAAUGGA